UCUGCUUUUCAGCUUGAAGCCUCAGAAGAA
RNAcentral lists this non-coding RNA (30 nucleotides) under Mus musculus (house mouse). Lineage: Eukaryota; Metazoa; Chordata; Mammalia; Rodentia; Muridae. The record is from RNAcentral.